GGGGUUGUGGCUCAGAGGUAGAGCACUUGCCUACCAUGCAUGAGACACUGGGUUCGAUCCUCAGCACCA
Molecule: transfer RNA, 69 nt
Filed under: Ictidomys tridecemlineatus (thirteen-lined ground squirrel)
Lineage: Eukaryota; Metazoa; Chordata; Mammalia; Rodentia; Sciuridae
Description: Spermophilus tridecemlineatus (thirteen-lined ground squirrel) tRNA
Rfam family: tRNA
About the family: Transfer RNA (tRNA) molecules are approximately 80 nucleotides in length. Their secondary structure includes four short double-helical elements and three loops (D, anti-codon, and T loops). Further hydrogen bonds mediate the characteristic L-shaped molecular structure. tRNAs have two regions of fundamental functional importance: the anti-codon, which is responsible for specific mRNA codon recognition, and the 3' end, to which the tRNAs corresponding amino acid is attached (by aminoacyl-tRNA synthetases). tRNAs cope with the degeneracy of the genetic code in two manners: having more than one tRNA (with a specific anti-codon) for a particular amino acid; and 'wobble' base-pairing, i.e. permitting non-standard base-pairing at the 3rd anti-codon position.
Source: Rfam by way of RNAcentral